GAAAUCGCUAUUGUGGCGUGUGACAUUCCUGAAGGUAAGUGUUCGCAAAUCAACAUAGUGAAAACUUCAAAUCUUUCUUGAUACAAUCUCAUAAGAGACUUCUAUCUUUUCUUAGCAAGCUUAUUAGUAAAUGAGGUUUAAUAUAGUCCUGUCGGCUUCUCCUCGGUUUCUAACAAUUUUGCUCAUCUCUAAUUAUGCAGCAUGCAUUAGAAAAUGUGUAAUUAGAAUAUGCGAACUUAAUUUUUUUAAAGAAAAGAACAACACAUCUCUCAUGUUGUAAUUAUUUAAGCUCAUUCAAGUCACAAAGGGCCAAUAACUUUAGUUUAAGUAUUUAUCUGUUGUGUCAAUGCCCAGUCCAACUUAAAGAAAUAAAAUAUGACCAGAACGAUAUGAAGUCACGACGACCCUUUGUUGGUCAACCCUCUUCGAUGUGACCUGUUUUAUUAAUUCCACCUUAGUUUAUAUCAAUUUUGUAUGGUCGUCAUUACAAUUAUGUGGGUGGUUGUAUGAGAAAAGAGUGGUUUCUGGACUCCUGUUAUCUUCAGGGUCAAUAUGAGCAUACGUUCAAGGAAAUCGAAAACUCCUCUCUCUUGCAAAAGUAUUUAUUUAAAAAUGUUCUAGCAGCUUAUGUGAACGGUGCCAAUCCAACAUAAAGAAAUAAACUGUUACAAAUUUAUUGGGAGUCAUCAUGUCCAUUUGUCGGGUAAUCUCUCUUUGCAGUUCCCUUUUAUUUUACUUUGCACGUUAUAUUCGACAUCCUCUAUUCUAUUGUAGCUGAAAAGGUAGCUUUAUGCACUGCCCAUGUGAUAAACAUUUUGACAGAAAAAAGUUGGAUGAAAAACUAUUUUCAUCUGCUAUAGCAAUGGCAGAAAUAACUUGCAAUGCAUACACUGAUUCUUGACUAUUUGUGCUGCAAAAUUGGCGGUAUAUUAUCAAAAAUUUGAAAGGAUCGAAUAGCUUAGUUUUUUUGUGUUGAAGUUUACGUCUGUUGAAUUGUUUCUUAAUUCCAGUGUUCUUUCAAUUGUGCAGUUAUUGGGACAGCAUUUGCUUUAAACAUGCUCUUCAAAAUACCAGUAUGGUGUGGUGUGCUAAUCACAGGGCUGAGUACCUUGACUCUACUUCUGUUGCAACAAUAUGGGGUAUGUUUAUAUAAUUCCCUUUAAAAACCUAUGCUCGAGAUGUCAUGCAUGAACAAAAUUAAAUUGGUUAUGAAAUGGUCAAUAUUCACUGGAUCGAGGAACCUAUUUAAAUUUGUACUUGUUAAAAAGCAUAAAACCCCUCAGAGAUAUGUUGUUCAUCAUUUUUACCCUUUAAAAUCAAAUUUCACAUUGGACAGAAUUGUUAUUUAAUCUUUUAUUUUAAAAUAUUAAAGACUUUUAAGUCAGCUAAAAUUAAAGAUCAUCCGGUGCACAAAGCUGGGCUAUGCGUGGGAGCUGGAUAGGAAAUCAUAAUAUUUAGAGUUUUAGAUCUUGUUUAACGCCUUACUAUUAAAGUAGAAUUAUAGGUUCUUUUAUUAGUCAAAAUUGUUAGAAAUUAAGAACUCAGAUGUGCACUACUUUUGUUUUGUCAGAUUUGCACAGCUAAAAAAUAGGUUUGCACAAGUUAUAGCUCAAAUAUCUCUGUGUUUAUCCUUCUCUCUCUUAUCUAGCUGACAAUUAAGUGUACUAACAUUACAGGUUCGGAAACUUGAAUUCUUUAUUGCAUUCCUUGUACUUACCAUAGCUAUAUGCUUCUUUGUGGAGCUUGGAUAUGCAAAACCCGACCCCUCAGAAGUUCUUCAGGGGCUUUUCGUUCCUCAACUCAAAGGGAGUGGUGCUACUAAGCUUGCUAUUUCCCUUCUUGGUGCUAUGGUUAUGCCGUAAGUGUAUAUGGAUGUUCGCUAUAGUAUUUUUUUGGAUAAAUCAUUCUACUAUUGUCAUGCUGAUAAUUUUCACUUUUUGCAGCCACAAUCUUUUCCUCCAUUCAGCCCUGGUGCUUUCCCGAAAAAUUCCUCGAUCUGUGAACGGCAUCAAAGUAUGUUUAGUAAUGGAAAUCCUCCUCAUAUUUUCGAGUAAUGAAAAACCUCCUCACGAAUGCUCAUCAACCUAAGAAAAGAAAACAAGGAGAAAAUUUGACUUUCGUUGUUGAUGCUAGUUGCGAAUCAAGUAGCAUGGGUCUAUGGUUGAUGCUUAGAGGUCAUACUAUGAUAAUAUAAACUCAUGGUUUCAUUUUGUCUGGAAUGUGUUGGUACCCAAAUUUUUUUCAAUAAUUUAUUAGUUCACUCAUUGUAUGGCUAGGCAAGUUGAUCCUCGAGUAAGGUGGACCUGUAAUAAGUUUUGUUUACGUAAGUGCUCGAGUUAAAAGAUAGAUCAUUUCUUGUUCUAUUUUUUUCUUUAUUUUCCUGUAAAAUUUGAGAAAGACUUACCUGUCUCAUUGGAACACCCUAAGCUUUUUUGGCCUCCUACUCUUUCUUUUUUUUUUUUUUUAAAAAUAAAUCUGUACAGGAUUAUGUUACAGGUGUGCUAGUUUGACCAAAUUAGUGAAAUAAAUAAUUUACAGGAGGCGUGCAGAUACUACCUGAUCGAAAGUGGCCUGGCUUUGAUGGUGGCAUUUCUUAUUAACAUAUCAGUUAUCUCAGUAAGUGGUGCUGUCUGCAAUUCCCCUUCUAUGAGCCCAGAUGAUCGGGAUAAGUGUGAGGACUUAGACUUGAACAAAGCAUCUUUUUUACUCAAAGUAGGUGAUACCACACUGCAAUGUCAUUGCUAUUCAAUUACACAGAACUAUGCUUUUUCAUCCAUUUUAUAAUGUUUUUUAAGUCUUAAUGACACUGCUCUUUUUAUGUUACUACUUACAGAAUGUUUUAGGCAACUGGAGUUCCAAGCUAUUUGCAAUUGCUUUACUAGCAUCAGGGCAGAGUUCGACAAUAACUGGGACGUACGC
Molecule: long non-coding RNA, 2919 nt
Filed under: Capsicum annuum
Lineage: Eukaryota; Viridiplantae; Streptophyta; Magnoliopsida; Solanales; Solanaceae
Description: long non-coding RNA (CANN_LNC003959)
Source: RNAcentral